GACGAACGCUGGCGGCGUGCUUAACACAUGCAAGUCGAACGGAAAGGCCUGCUUUCCCUUGUGGAUUGCGGGUACUCGAGUGGCGAACGGGUGAGUAACACGUGAGUGAUCUGCCCCCAACUUGGGUAUAAGCCUGGGAAACUGGGUCUAAUUCCCGAUAGGACUGCAGGGUGGUGCCUGUGGUGGAAAACGAUUUUCUAGUGGUUGGGGAUGAGCUCGCGGCCUAUCAGCUUGUUGGUGGGGUAAUGGCCUACCAAGGCGGCGACGGGUAGCCGGCCUGGGAGGGUGGACGGCCACAUUGGGACUGAGACACGGCCCAGACUCCUACGGGAGGCAGCAGUGGGGAAUAGUGCACAAUGGGCGGAAGCCUGAUGCAGCGACGCCGCGUGGGGGAUGACGGCCUUCGGGUUGUAAACUCCUUUCGACCGCGAGGAAGCCACCUGGUUGGAAGGGUGGUGACGGUAGUGGUAGAAGAAGCACCGGCUAACUACGUG
This 494-nucleotide ribosomal RNA is filed under the name uncultured bacterium. RNAcentral describes it as "partial 16S ribosomal RNA". It matches the Rfam family "Bacterial small subunit ribosomal RNA", at positions 28 to 507 of the family's 1533-position model. The record is from RNAcentral.